UACGUAGGUGGCAAGCGUUGUCCGGAUUUACUGGGCGUAAAGAGCGCGCAGGCGGUCGUUCAAGUCGAGUGUGAAAGCCCCCGGCUCAACUGGGGAAGGUCACUCGAUACUGAUCGACUCGAAGGCAGGAGAGGGAAGCGGAAUUCCCGGUGUAGUGGUGAAAUGCGUAGAUAUCGGGAGGAACACCAGUGGCGAAGGCGGCUUUCUGGCCUGUUCUUGACGCUGAGGCGCGAAAGCUAGGGUAGCAAACGGG
RNAcentral lists this ribosomal RNA (253 nucleotides) under uncultured bacterium. RNAcentral's name for it is "partial 16S ribosomal RNA". It matches the Rfam family "Bacterial small subunit ribosomal RNA", at positions 524 to 776 of the family's 1533-position model. The record is from RNAcentral.